ACAGAGGGUGCGAGCGUUAAUCGGAAUUACUGGGCGUAAAGCGAGUGUAGGUGGCUCAUUAAGUCACAUGUGAAAUCCCCGGGCUUAACCUGGGAACUGCAUGUGAUACUGGUGGUGCUAGAAUAUGUGAGAGGGAAGUAGAAUUCCAGGUGUAGCGGUGAAAUGCGUAGAGAUCUGGAGGAAUACCGAUGGCGAAGGCAGCUUCCUGGCAUAAUAUUGACACUGAGAUUCGAAAGCGUGGGUAGCAAACAGGAUUAGAUACCCUGGUAGUCAAGGGCG
This 279-nucleotide ribosomal RNA is filed under the name uncultured Pseudomonadales bacterium. Its description in RNAcentral is "partial 16S ribosomal RNA". It matches the Rfam family "Bacterial small subunit ribosomal RNA", at positions 525 to 802 of the family's 1533-position model. The record is from RNAcentral. Lineage: Bacteria; Pseudomonadati; Pseudomonadota; Gammaproteobacteria; Pseudomonadales.